RNAcentral lists this ribosomal RNA (403 nucleotides) under uncultured bacterium. RNAcentral describes it as "partial 16S ribosomal RNA". It matches the Rfam family "Bacterial small subunit ribosomal RNA", at positions 30 to 526 of the family's 1533-position model. The record is from RNAcentral.
AUUGAACGCUGGCGGCAGGCCUAACACAUGCAAGUCGAGCGAGCGGCGGACGGGUGAGUAAUGUAUGGGGACUGCCCGAUAGCGGGGGAUAACUACUGGAAACGGUAGCUAAUACCGCAUACUAUCGGAUAACCCAUAUGGGAUUAGCUAGUAGGUGAGGUAAUGGCUCACCUAGGCGACGAUCCCUAGCUGGUCUGAGAGGAUGAUCAGCAAAACUGGGACUGAGACACGGCCCAGACUCCUACGGAGGCAGCAGUGGGGAAUAUUGGACAAUGGGCGAAAGCCUGACUCAGCCAUGCCGCGUGUAUGAAGAAGGCCCUAGGGUUGUAAAGUACGUUCGUUCGGGAGGCGUUACCGAAAGAAGAAGCACCGGCUAACUCCGUGCCAGCCGCCGCGGUAAUUC